UGCCACAAAUUACCAUCAAUCAGAUCAAAAAGCCAGGUCUAUGUUAGUAGACCAUGCCUCUUCCAGUAAAAUCAUUAUGAAUCUUCUUUCGAUAAUACCAACAUUCUCUCUUCCAAGCUUGCUCAUUCACCUUUCAUUUCCCAUCUAUGUUCUUCAACUUCCUUUUCCAACUUUUUAGACAUCUAAAAUUUUAUGUUUGUGCAUGGAUCGAGGACGUUCGACAAAUUGUGUGUUUCGGCUCUAUUUAAGUUGUUCAUUCUACAAAAUGGAAAAGGUUCUUUGUUUUGGUUCAUAAUAUUUUUUAGCAUUUCUUUUACCCAUAUACUUAUCAGUUAUACACAUUAAUUUAUUCUGUUAAAAGAUCUUUUUACUUUAGUCAUGACUCUUGAUAUGAUAUGCAGGAAAAAUAUUUUUUCUAAAUGCAAAUAUGGAUACAAGUUCUUAUGCUUCUGUGAGCUUUGAUUUUUCUGUUUUUUUAUCUAAUAUAAUUUUUUUUUUCAUAUGAAACAAAACGUAAGGCUUACUUUUGUUAUUCUAUAAUUUUUUUUUUCGGGUUAAUAUGCUCACUAGCAUAAUUUUGUGGGAACGUUUCCCCUAAAUUUGAUGAAACUUACAAUUGCUGGUUGUUCAAAUAAGAUUUAUGAUAAUUUUUUUCAUUUUGAAAAUAUAUUAGCACUGUUGUUGUUUUGUCAACACGUUAAUUGGGAUACAAAUUCUUAUACCCAUGUACUUAUAAUUUACUUGAUAUUGGUGUAUGUACUCCAAACCUUUUGCAUGAUCUUUUUGUUAUCUUGGAAAUUUUACAGCUGCAUCAAAGUUCGUCUCAUUUAAUCAAAGGUAGACGGUUUGACAACUUUUCUUUUUUUUUUUUGGUCGUGUGCUGUUAAUUUUUUGUUGGUGUCUUCUCAUUUGCAGUUGAUGAACCCUUUUCACUUCUUAUGUUGUUUCUAUAAAAUAGGUACUAUUUAACUGGUUCAUGGAAGCAACAUAUGUUCGCUAAAAUAUUAGCUGAGGUGGUUUUGACAUGGAAGAAAACGUUACACAUCAUAAUAAAUUACAUGAUAAUACGAUUUUGUGUUUCAGCUCGGGUUAAAAUUUACUAAUCUAAUUGAACUGUGAAAUUUAUAUUCUUUUAAGUAAUGCUACAAAUAAACAGGAACUUACAAUUGUUAGUUAUGUGCACUUUUCAAAUAAAUAACAAAUCCCGUAUGGAAGUAUCAUAUUGAAAGUCUUCCGUGUUGUAAAGCUUAAAUGUGUUGUCACAUUCACUCUUAUUUAUUGUAUAUAUUCAUAAAGAUGUGAUCAUGAGAACUCAAUUGAGCUUUAUAUCAAGAUGGAGACAUCUUGUAUGUAAUGUUAUGGAUGCAUGUGAACAACUUCAAAAAUAAUUCGAACAUAAUCAUUUGGAGGGAUUGUUGGUUCCUUGUGUCUUGAUGGAGAAAAUGACUUUGCGGUGACGAUCCAAAAAAGUCUGAGCCUUGUUCGUUUAUUGGUAGACCAAGAGAAAUGAGAUUUUGGUUGUGCUACUCUCACCAACCAAGUUCUUUAGCUUGAUUAUUUGUUAAUUUUAAUCGCUGUACUUUUGUUAGUUUGUAUGCAUUGCUGUGUAAUUAUUAUCAGACAGUUUGCACUUUUGUACUAUCUCCGCCAUAUGGAAAUGUAUGACAAUAUCUUAAAAAGACUUUAAUGUAAUAUGCAAUCUUAUAAAUGAUUGCAUUCUUUA
Erythranthe guttata (spotted monkey flower) is the source of this 1723-nucleotide non-coding RNA. The record is from RefSeq and is a predicted model, not a curated record. NCBI's taxonomy places the organism in Eukaryota, Viridiplantae, Streptophyta, Magnoliopsida, Lamiales, Phrymaceae.